This is a long non-coding RNA of Hemiscyllium ocellatum (epaulette shark), 351 nucleotides long. RefSeq lists it as uncharacterized. The record is from RefSeq and is a predicted model, not a curated record. Lineage: Eukaryota; Metazoa; Chordata; Chondrichthyes; Orectolobiformes; Hemiscylliidae. The transcript is spliced from 3 exons.
AGAACUGGCAACUUAAGCAGAGGUGACAGGGUCCUUCUGAUAUAUACAGAUUGGGCUGAGAUGAUAUCUUCAGGACCCAAAAAAAGAGUACAACCAGAGGCCAGAACAUGGAAAUUAUUUUGACAUUUUUUGGCAGAAAGAAGAUUCGUGCACCAGUUUUUUGGAUCCAAUGCCAAAGAAGGACAGGAUGAAUUGCAGGACAAGACAUGAAGAGAAAUUACAAAAUGAGAAGCACCGUUAGUGGUGACAUAGCAGAAAAAGUCGAAGGAGAAAACAAGAGACUUGGAAGCAAUUCGUUAACAAGUAUCAAAGCUGCAAUGUUUAGUUUUUAGUAACAAAUUACCAAAGAAG